AUCCCUGUAGAGCAAAGGAUAGCGCGUUGGACUUCUAAUCCAAAGGUCGUGGGUCCCACCUGGGAUG
Trichonephila inaurata madagascariensis is the source of this 67-nucleotide non-coding RNA. The record is from the annotation of a GenBank genome assembly. Lineage: Eukaryota; Metazoa; Arthropoda; Arachnida; Araneae; Nephilidae.